UUAUACAGCGAAACUGCGAAUGGCUCAUUAUAUAAGUUAUCGUUUAUUUGAUAGUACCUUACUACUUGGAUAACCGUGGUAAUUCUAGAGCUAAUACAUGCUAAAAAUCCCGACUUACGAAGGGAUGUAUUUAUUAGAUUAAAAACCAAUGCCCUUCGGGGCUCACUGGUGAUUCAUAAUAACUUCUCGAAUCGCAUGGCCUUGCGCCGGCGAUGGUUCAUUCAAAUUUCUUCCCUAUCAACUUUCGAUGCUAGAGUAGUGUUCUAGCAUGGUUACAACGGGUAACGGAGGGUUAGGGCUCGACCCCGGAGAAGGAGCCUGAGAAACGGCUACUACAUCCAAGGAAGGCAGCAGGCGCGCAAAUUACCCAAUCCCGACACGGGGAGGUAGUGACGAUAAAUACUGAUACAGGGCUCUUUUGGGUCUUGUAAUUGGAAUGAGUACAAUUUAAAUCCCUUAACGAGGAACAAUUGGAGGGCAAGUCUGGUGCCAGCAGCCGCGGUAAUUCCAGCUCCAAUAGCGUAUAUUAAAGUUGUUGUGGUUAAAAAGCUCGUAGUAGAACCUUGGGCCUGGCUGGCCGGUCCGCCUCACCGCGUGCACUGGUCCGGCCGGGCCUUUCCCCCUGUGGAACCUCAUGCCCUUCACUGGGUGUGUGGGAAAACAGGACUUUUACUUUGAAAAAAUUAGAGUGCUCCAGGCAGGCCUAUGCUCGAAUACAUUAGCAUGGAAUAAUAGAAUAGGACGUGUGGUUCUAUUUUGUUGGUUUCUAGGACCGCCGUAAUGAUUAAUAGGGACAGUCGGGGGCAUCAGUAUUCAAUUGUCAGAGGUGAAAUUCUUGGAUUUAUUGAAGACUAACUACUGCGAAAGCAUUUGCCAAGGAUGUUUUCAUUUAUCAGGAACGAAAGUUAGGGGAUCGAAGACGAUCAGAUACCGUCGUAGUCUUAACCAUAAACUAUGCCGACUAGGGAUCGGACGAUGUUAUUUUUUGACUCGUUCGGCACCUUACGAGAAAUCAAAGUGCUUGG
Molecule: ribosomal RNA, 1025 nt
Filed under: Colletotrichum musae
Lineage: Eukaryota; Fungi; Ascomycota; Sordariomycetes; Glomerellales; Glomerellaceae
Also listed under: 1 other name
Description: SSU rRNA
Rfam family: Eukaryotic small subunit ribosomal RNA
Source: RNAcentral